AACGAACGCUGGCGGCAGGCCUAACACAUGCAAGUCGAGCGCGCCCUUCGGGGUGAGCGGCGGACGGGUGAGUAACGCGUGGGAACGUGCCCUUUGCUACGGAAUAGUCUCGGGAAACUGGGGGUAAUACCGUAUGAGCCCUUCGGGGGAAAGAUUUAUCGGCAAAGGAUCGGCCCGCGUUGGAUUAGGUAGUUGGUGGGGUAAUGGCUCACCAAGCCGACGAUCCAUAGCUGGUUUGAGAGGAUGAUCAGCCACACUGGGACUGAGACACGGCCCAGACUCCUACGGGAGGCAGCAGUGGGGAAUCUUAGACAAUGGGCGCAAGCCUGAUCUAGCCAUGCCGCGUGAGCGAUGAAGGCCUUAGGGUUGUAAAAGCUCUUUCGUGGGGGAAGAUAAUGACUGUACCCCAAGAAGAAGCCCCGGCCAACUCCGUGCCAGCAGCCGCGGUAAU
Molecule: ribosomal RNA, 451 nt
Filed under: uncultured bacterium
Lineage: Bacteria
Description: bacterial SSU rRNA
Rfam family: Bacterial small subunit ribosomal RNA
Source: RNAcentral